RNAcentral lists this ribosomal RNA (470 nucleotides) under Enterococcus sp. oral taxon A43. RNAcentral's name for it is "bacterial SSU rRNA". It matches the Rfam family "Bacterial small subunit ribosomal RNA", at positions 28 to 472 of the family's 1533-position model. The record is from RNAcentral. Lineage: Bacteria; Bacillati; Bacillota; Bacilli; Lactobacillales; Enterococcaceae.
GACGAACGCUGGCGGCGUGCCUAAUACAUGCAAGUCGAACGCUUCUUUUUCACCGAACUUCGGUUCAUCGAAAAAGAGGAGUGGCGAACGGGUGAGUAACACGUGGGUAACCUGCCCAUCAGAAGGGGAUAACACUUGGAAACAGGUGCUAAUACCGUAUAAUGCUUUUUCUCGCAUGAGAGCAAGCUGAAAGGCGCUUUUGCGUCACUGAUGGAUGGACCCGCGGUGCAUUAGCUAGUUGGUGAGGUAACGGCUCACCAAGGCCACGAUGCAUAGCCGACCUGAGAGGGUGAUCGGCCACACUGGGACUGAGACACGGCCCAGACUCCUACGGGAGGCAGCAGUAGGGAAUCUUCGGCAAUGGACGAAAGUCUGACCGAGCAACGCCGCGUGAGUGAAGAAGGUUUUCGGAUCGUAAAACUCUGUUGUUAGAGAAGAACAAGGAUGAGAGUAAAAUGUUCAUCCCUUGA